Molecule: ribosomal RNA, 408 nt
Filed under: uncultured bacterium
Lineage: Bacteria
Description: bacterial SSU rRNA
Rfam family: Bacterial small subunit ribosomal RNA
Source: RNAcentral
GACGAACGCUGGCGGCGUGCUUAACACAUGCAAGUCGAACGAGACGAUUGAAAGCUUGCUUUUGAAAGUCGAGUGGCAAACGGGUGAGUAACGCGUAGGCAACCUGCCUCUAGGAUGGGGACAACAGUCCGAAAGGACUGCUAAUACCGAAUGUUGUAUCAAUUCCGCAUGGAGUUGGUAUGAAAGAUGGCCUCUACUUGUAAGCUAUCACCUAGAGAUGGGCCUGCGUCUGAUUAGCUAGUUGGUGGGGCAACGGCCUACCAAGGCGACGAUCAGUAGCCGGUCUGAGAGGAUGAACGGCCACAUUGGAACUGAGACACGGUCCAGACUCCUACGGAGGCAGCAGUGGGGAAUCUUCCGCAAUGGGCGAAAGCCUGACGGAGCAACGCCGCGUGAGUGAAGAAGGCC